UCCGUAGCCGGUUUGAUCAGUCUUUUGGGAAAUCUGACAGCUUAACUGUUAGGCUUCCAAAGGAUACUGUCAGACUUGGGACCGGGAGAGGUAAGAGGUACUACAGGGGUAGGAGUGAAAUCUUGUAAUCCCUGUGGGACCACCAGUGGCGAAGGCGUCUUACCAGAACGGGUCCGACGGUGAGGGACGAAAGCUGGGGGCACGAACAGGAUUAGAUACCCUGGUAGUCC
RNAcentral lists this ribosomal RNA (230 nucleotides) under uncultured bacterium. RNAcentral describes it as "partial 16S ribosomal RNA". It matches the Rfam family "Archaeal small subunit ribosomal RNA", at positions 518 to 747 of the family's 1478-position model. The record is from RNAcentral.